AUACGGAGGGUGCAAGCGUCACUCGGAAUCACUGGGCGUAAAGCGCGCGCAGGCGGCUAUUUAAGUUGGAUGUGAAAGCCUACGGCUCAACCGUAGAACUGCAUCCAAAACUAUUUAGCUAGAGUGUGGGAGAGGAAGAUGGAAUUAGUUGUGUAGGGGUAAAAUCCGUAGAGAUAACUAGGAAUACCAAAAGCGAAGGCAAUCUUCUGGAACACUACUGACGCUGAGGCGCGAAAGCGUGGGGAGCAAACAGGAUUAGAAACCCUAGUAGUCC
RNAcentral lists this ribosomal RNA (274 nucleotides) under uncultured bacterium. Its description in RNAcentral is "partial 16S ribosomal RNA". It matches the Rfam family "Bacterial small subunit ribosomal RNA", at positions 523 to 796 of the family's 1533-position model. The record is from RNAcentral.